This is a long non-coding RNA of Solanum tuberosum (potato), 515 nucleotides long. RefSeq lists it as uncharacterized. Lineage: Eukaryota; Viridiplantae; Streptophyta; Magnoliopsida; Solanales; Solanaceae. The transcript has 3 exons. The record is from RefSeq and is a predicted model, not a curated record.
GAAACCAUGAAUUACAAAGCAUUCACUUUUGAUAUUGUUUGUAUUAAUUUUUUUGUCUAUCGUCAACAAUGGCCUCUCGAAGAAUAUUAUCAGGUCCGGGAAAUAGUAAAAUGCCAUCACUACCUCACCGACCUAAACCAGAUGGAUCAGCAACUACCCAACCACCGCCUGCAGCACCACAACAUUUAACCUAUCGUGCAAUACAAAAAACAGUGACUGUAUGCAACGAGAAGGUGUAUGGCAAUUGUAUAAGAGCUCCUCCAACAGUCACACGCUGCAAUUAUUAUGGAAGAUGUAAACGCACCGUAGUACCCUAACUUGAAGUUAUAACAGCAAAGCAAGUCGCAGUUAGAAUUUGAAAUUUAUGAAUUCUGAAUGUAUUACUGAAUUUUAUAACACAUUUAAUUAGUUACUGGAUUGACGGUUAAUUGUAAACAAUAAACUUCAUUUUUCAGUGAAAGUUCAUGUAAUAAUAUUGAAUGGUGUAUAUUUAUAUCAAAGCCAUUUAAAAUCUU